RNAcentral lists this ribosomal RNA (484 nucleotides) under uncultured bacterium. RNAcentral's name for it is "partial 16S ribosomal RNA". It matches the Rfam family "Bacterial small subunit ribosomal RNA", at positions 30 to 507 of the family's 1533-position model. The record is from RNAcentral.
AUUGAACGCUGGCGGCAGGCCUAACACAUGCAAGUCGAGCGGAUGAAGGGAGCUUGCUCCUGGAUUCAGCGGCGGACGGGUGAGUAAUGCCUAGGAAUCUGCCUGGUAGUGGGGGAUAACGUCCGGAAACGGGCGCUAAUACCGCAUACGUCCUGAGGGAGAAAGUGGGGGAUCUUCGGACCUCACGCUAUCAGAUGAGCCUAGGUCGGAUUAGCUAGUUGGUGGGGUAAAGGCCUACCAAGGCGACGAUCCGUAACUGGUCUGAGAGGAUGAUCAGUCACACUGGAACUGAGACACGGCCCAGACUCCUACGGGAGGCAGCAGUGGGGAAUAUUGGACAAUGGGCGAAAGCCUGAUCCAGCCAUGCCGCGUGUGUGAAGAAGGUCUUCGGAUUGUAAAGCACUUUAAGUUGGGAGGAAGGGCAGUAAGUUAAUACCUUGCUGUCUUGACGUUACCAACAGAAUAAGCACCGGCUAACUUCGUG